RNAcentral lists this ribosomal RNA (460 nucleotides) under uncultured bacterium. Its description in RNAcentral is "partial 16S ribosomal RNA". It matches the Rfam family "Bacterial small subunit ribosomal RNA", at positions 338 to 795 of the family's 1533-position model. The record is from RNAcentral.
CCUACGGGCGGCAGCAGUGAGGAAUAUUGGUCAAUGGACGAGAGUCUGAACCAGCCAAGUAGCGUGAAGGAUGACUGCCCUAUGGGUUGUAAACUUCUUUUAUAUGGGAAUAAAAUGUUCCACGUGUGGGAUUUUGUAUGUACCAUAUGAAUAAGGAUCGGCUAACUCCGUGCCAGCAGCCGCGGUAAUACGGAGGAUCCGAGCGUUAUCCGGAUUUAUUGGGUUUAAAGGGAGCGUAGGUGGAUUGUUAAGUCAGUUGUGAAAGUUUGCGGCUCAAACGUAAAAUUGCAGUUGAAACUGGCAGUCUAGAGUACAGAAGAGGUAGGCGGAAUACGUGGUGUAGCGGUGAAAUGCUUAGAUAUCACGAAGAACUCCGAUUGCGAAGGCAGCUCACUGGACUGCAACUGACACUGAGGCUCGAAAGUGUGGGUAUCAAACAGGAUUAGAUACCCUAGUAGUC